AGGGGAGCGUUCUGUAAGCCUGUGAAGGUGGCCUGUGAGGGUUGCUGGAGGUAUCAGAAGUGCGAAUGCUGACAUAAGUAACGAUAAAGCGGGUGAAAAGCCCGCUCGCCGGAAGACCAAGGGUUCCUGUCCAACGUUAAUCGGGGCAGGGUGAGUCGACCCCUAAGGCGAGGCCGAAAGGCGUAGUCGAUGGGAAACAGGUUAAUAUUCCUGUACUUGGUGUUACUGCGAAGGGGGGACGGAGAAGGCUAUGUUGGCCGGGCGACGGUUGUCCCGGUUUAAGCGUGUAGGCUGGUUUUCCAGGCAAAUCCGGAAAACCAAGGCUGAGGCGUGAUGACGAGGCACUACGGUGCUGAAGUGACAAAUGCCCUGCUUCCAGGAAAAGCCUCUAAGCAUCAGGUAACAUCAAAUCGUACCCCAAACCGACACAGGUGGUCAGGUAGAGAAUACCAAGGCGCUUGAGAGAACUCGGGUGAAGGAACUAGGCAAAAUGGUGCCGUAACUUCGGGAGAAGGCACGCUGAUAUGUAGGUGAAGCGACUUGCUCGUGGAGCUGAAAUCAGUCGAAGAUACCAGCUGGCUGCAACUGUUUAUUAAAAACACAGCACUGUGCAAACACGAAAGUGGACGUAUACGGUGUGACGCCUGCCCGGUGCCGGAAGGUUAAUUGAUGGGGUUAGCGGUAACGCGAAGCUCUUGAUCGAAGCCCCGGUAAACGGCGGCCGUAACUAUAACGGUCCUAAGGUAGCGAAAUUCCUUGUCGGGUAAGUUCCGACCUGCACGAAUGGCGUAAUGAUGGCCAGGCUGUCUCCACCCGAGACUCAGUGAAAUUGAACUCGCUGUGAAGAUGCAGUGUACCCGCGGCAAGACGGAAAGACCCCGUGAACCUUUACUAUAGCUUGACACUGAACAUUGAGCCUUGAUGUGUAGGAUAGGUGGGAGGCUUUGAAGUGUGGACGCCAGUCUGCAUGGAGCCGACCUUGAAAUACCACCCUUUAAUGUUUGAUGUUCUAACGUUGGCCCGUAAUCCGGGUUGCGGACAGUGUCUGGUGGGUAGUUUGACUGGGGCGGUCUCCUCCUAAAGAGUAACGGAGGAGCACGAAGGUUGGCUAAUCCUGGUCGGACAUCAGGAGGUUAGUGCAAUGGCAUAAGCCAGCUUGACUGCGAGCGUGACGGCGCGAGCAGGUGCGAAAGCAGGUCAUAGUGAUCCGGUGGUUCUGAAUGGAAGGGCCAUCGCUCAACGGAUAAAAGGUACUCCGGGGAUAACAGGCUGAUACCGCCCAAGAGUUCAUAUCGACGGCGGUGUUUGGCACCUCGAUGUCGGCUCAUCACAUCCUGGGGCUGAAGUAGGUCCCAAGGGUAUGGCUGUUCGCCAUUUAAAGUGGUACGCGAGCUGGGUUUAGAACGUCGUGAGACAGUUCGGUCCCUAUCUGCCGUGGGCGCUGGAGAACUGAGGGGGGCUGCUCCUAGUACGAGAGGACCGGAGUGGACGCAUCACUGGUGUUCGGGUUGUCAUGCCAAUGGCACUGCCCGGUAGCUAAAUGCGGAAGAGAUAAGUGCUGAAAGCAUCUAAGCACGAAACUUGCCCCGAGAUGAGUUCUCCCUGACUCCUUGAGAGUCCUGAAGGAACGUUGAAGACGACGACGUUGAUAGGCCGGGUGUGUAAGCGCAGCGAUGCGUUGAGCUAACCGGUACUAAUGAACCGUGAGGCUUAACCUU
Molecule: ribosomal RNA, 1718 nt
Filed under: Escherichia coli
Lineage: Bacteria; Pseudomonadati; Pseudomonadota; Gammaproteobacteria; Enterobacterales; Enterobacteriaceae
Description: partial 23S ribosomal RNA
Rfam family: Bacterial large subunit ribosomal RNA
Source: RNAcentral